This 220-nucleotide ribosomal RNA is filed under the name uncultured bacterium. RNAcentral's name for it is "partial 16S ribosomal RNA". It matches the Rfam family "Bacterial small subunit ribosomal RNA", at positions 57 to 305 of the family's 1533-position model. The record is from RNAcentral.
GCAAGUCGAGCGCGCCCUUCGGGGUGAGCGGCGGACGGGUGAGUAACGCGUGGGAACACACCCUUCUCUAAGGAAUAGCCUCUGGAAACGAUGAGUAAUACCGUAUACGCCCUUCGGGGGAAAGAUUUAUCGGAUUUGGAUCGGCCCGCGUUAGAUUAGAUAGUUGGUGGGGUAAUGGCCUACCAAGUCUACGAUCUAUAGCUGGUUUUAGAGGAUGAUC